Long non-coding RNA from Bufo bufo (common toad), 1133 nucleotides. RefSeq lists it as uncharacterized. The record is from RefSeq and is a predicted model, not a curated record. NCBI's taxonomy places the organism in Eukaryota, Metazoa, Chordata, Amphibia, Anura, Bufonidae. The transcript is spliced from 3 exons.
ACAGAAGAGACAGUCAACAGUGGUAAAGGGAGAAAGCAGCGGACGAGAUUUCCCAAAGUGACUGCGACCAGGAGUCGGAAAACCACAGCCCAUAUCACUGUAAACAGGAGAAAUACCGGAGGGCUAUGGAUGCUAAUGAGUUCUUAUAGGAUCUAUCAUUCAUGGAUGCAUAGCCUUAUCUACUGAGAUCUACAGCUGGAGACACCGAGGUACAUGACACCUCUACUAAGGGAAUAUAAUGUACCCAGAGAUCUAUAGGUGCAGGCACCAGAUGCAGGACACCUCUACUAAGGGAAUAUAAUGUACCCAGAGAUCUAUAGGUGGAGACAUCAGAUGGUUGACACCUCUACUAAGGGAAUAUAAUGUACCCUGAGAUCUAUAGGUGCAGGCAGCAGAUGCAGGACACCUCUACUAAGGGAAUAUAAUGUACCCCGAGAUCUAUAGGUGGAGACACCAGGAACAGGACACCUCUACUAUGGGGGUAUAAUGUACCCAGAGAUCUAUAGGUGGAGACACCAGGAACAGGACACCUCUACUAUGGGGGUAUAAUGUACCCAGAGAUCUACAGGAGUAGACACCAGGAACAGGACACCUCUACUAUGGGGGUAUAAUGUACCCAGAGAUCUAUAGGUGGAGACACCAGGAACAGGACACCUCUACUAUGGGGGUAUAAUGUACCCAGAGAUCUAUAGGUGGAGACACCAGGAACAGGACACCUCUACUAUGGGGGUAUAAUGUACCCAGAGAUCUACAGGAGUAGACACCAGGAACAGGACACCUCUACUAUGGGGGUAUAAUGUACCAUCAGCUCUACAAGUGGAGAUACCAGGUUAAAUAAAAUAAAAUAAUUACCGCAGCACUCUCUUCAGUCAUAUAUGGUUUAUUCACCUACUGUGCGACGUUUCGACUUCACAGAGUCUUUUUCAAGCAUAUAUCUGUGAAGUCGAAACGUCGCACGGUUGGUGAAUAAACCAUAUAUGACUGAAGACAGAGUGCUGCGGUAAUUAUUUUCUUUUAUGGAUUACUGGGGGCCCGUCGGGCUUGGACCGAACACUGCUGGCACCGCCACCAUUGGGACAGAAUUUUGAAUACAUCCAGUGAGUAGUGCUGUUUUUUUUCUCUAAACAAGAUAC